CCUACGGGUGGCUGCAGUGAGGAAUAUUGGUCAAUGGCCGGAAGGCUGAACCAGCCAUGCCGCGUGAAGGUCAGUGCCCUAUGGGCGUUAAACUUCUUUUGUGCGGGAGGAAUAAUGGUCAAGUGUGGCCAGACGAGCGUACCGUACGAAUAACCAUCGGCUAACUCCGUGCUAGCGGCCACGGUAAUACGGGGGGUGCAAGCGUUAUCCGGAUUUAUUGGGUUGAAAGGGUUCGUAGGCUGUGAGGUAAGUCAGCGGUGAAAUGCCGCCGUUCAACGGGGUGAAGUGCCAUUGAUACUGCGUGGCUGGAAUGCGGAUGCCGUGGGAGGAAUGUGUGGUGUAGCGGUGAAAUGCAUAGAUAUCA
RNAcentral lists this ribosomal RNA (364 nucleotides) under uncultured bacterium. RNAcentral's name for it is "partial 16S ribosomal RNA". It matches the Rfam family "Bacterial small subunit ribosomal RNA", at positions 338 to 699 of the family's 1533-position model. The record is from RNAcentral.